RNAcentral lists this long non-coding RNA (336 nucleotides) under Anas platyrhynchos platyrhynchos (common mallard). Its description in RNAcentral is "lncRNA (ENSAPLG00000018705.1)". Lineage: Eukaryota; Metazoa; Chordata; Aves; Anseriformes; Anatidae. The record is from RNAcentral.
CAGAAUACAAAAGGUACCAGCUCAUCCUUGGAGUGGUAAUUUUGGACAGGCUGGUAAGCGGCAGUUAGAAGAACAGCAACAACAACAACAACAAAUGACAAAGACUGCACACCCAGAUACAUGUCCAAACAAGACCCUAGCAGUUUAACAGAUCCAUCUCCAAUUUUCAAAACGGAUUAAAGUUUUUCUUGGGGAAUCAUGGAAGAAAAAAAACCAAGCACAGUAACCAAGAAAAGCAUAUCUGAAUCCUUCAUGAGCACUGGAAGUUCAUUUGGUUCUAUUCAAUUUCUUCUACCAUAAUAAUCUCAAUAGCAUUAAAAAGGCUUCUAAACAGAA